AAUUUAAAACUUUCUUUACCAAGAAAACAUUUAAUUAAAAAUAGCAAGCGGAAGACUUUCUAGACUUUAUACAUGAUGUCUCAAAACCAUCUAAUACUUUAGAGUACAAAAUUCGGGACUAAUCCCGUACACAACUCAAACAAUACUAAAAAGGACAUAAAAGGACAUAUUGGGUAUUGUCCUCGAAUCUAUGAGGACUCACCAAGUCUUCAUCAUCAACACUUAGAAACCUAUC
Molecule: long non-coding RNA, 235 nt
Filed under: Solanum tuberosum (potato)
Lineage: Eukaryota; Viridiplantae; Streptophyta; Magnoliopsida; Solanales; Solanaceae
Description: long non-coding RNA (STUB_LNC003579)
Source: RNAcentral